This 375-nucleotide ribosomal RNA is filed under the name uncultured organism. RNAcentral's name for it is "partial 16S ribosomal RNA". It matches the Rfam family "Bacterial small subunit ribosomal RNA", at positions 527 to 896 of the family's 1533-position model. The record is from RNAcentral.
GUAGGUGGCAAGCGUUGUCCGGAAUUAUUGGGCGUAAAGCGCGCGCAGGCGGUCCUUUAAGUCUGAUGUGAAAGCCCACGGCUCAACCGUGGAGGGUCGAUUGGAAACUGGGGGACGUUGAGUACAGAAGAGGAAAGCGGAAUUCCAAGUGUAGCGGUGAAAUGCGUAGAGAUUUGGAGGAACACCAGUGGCGAAGGCGGCUUUCUGGUCUGUAACUGACGCUGAGGCGCGAAAGCGUGGGGAGCAAACAGGGAUUAGAUACCCUGGUAGUCCACGCCGUAAACGAUGAGUGCUAAGUGUUAGGGGGUUUCCCGCCCCUUAGUGCUGCAGCUAACCGCAUUAAGCACUCCGCCUGGGGAGUACGCCGCAAGGCUG